AGAUUGAACGCUGGCGGAACGCUUUAACACAUGCAAGUCGAACGGUAGAGGGGCAACCCUUGAGAGUGGACGAACGGGUGAGUUAAUAUAUCGGAACGUGCCAGUCGUGGGGAUAACGUAGCGAAAGCUACGCUAAUACCGCAUACGAUCUAUGGAUGAAAGCGGGGGAUCGCAAGACCUCGCGCGAUUGGAGCGGCCGAUAUCAGAUUAGGUAGUUGGUGAGGUAAAGGCUCACCAAGCCGACGAUCUGUAGCUGGUCUGAGAGGACGACCAGCCACACUGGGACUGAGACACGGUCCAGACUCCUACGGGAGGCAGCAGUGGGGAAUAUUGGACAAUGGGCGAAAGCCUGAUCCAGCCAUGCCGCGUGUGUGAAGAAGGUCUUCGGAUUAUAAAGCACUUUAAGUUGGGAGGAAGGGUAGUAACCUAAUACGUUGCUACUUUGACGUUACCGACAGAAUAAGCACCGGCUAACUUCGUG
RNAcentral lists this ribosomal RNA (481 nucleotides) under uncultured bacterium. RNAcentral's name for it is "bacterial SSU rRNA". It matches the Rfam family "Bacterial small subunit ribosomal RNA", at positions 26 to 507 of the family's 1533-position model. The record is from RNAcentral.